Molecule: non-coding RNA, 31 nt
Filed under: Homo sapiens (human)
Lineage: Eukaryota; Metazoa; Chordata; Mammalia; Primates; Hominidae
Source: RNAcentral
UGUUGAAGGAGACCAGGCUGAUGCCACCUGC